RNAcentral lists this ribosomal RNA (253 nucleotides) under uncultured bacterium. RNAcentral's name for it is "partial 16S ribosomal RNA". It matches the Rfam family "Bacterial small subunit ribosomal RNA", at positions 524 to 776 of the family's 1533-position model. The record is from RNAcentral.
UACAGAGGUGGCAAGCGUUGUUCGGAAUUACUGGGCGUAAAGGGCGCGUAGACGGCCUUCUAAGUCAGACGUGAAAUCCCCCGGCUUAACCUGGGAACUGCGUCUGAUACUGGGAGGCUUGAGUAUGGGAGAGGGAUGUAGAAUUCCAGGUGUAGCGGUGAAAUGCGUAGAUAUCUGGAGGAAUACCGGUGGCGAAGGCGGCAUCCUGGACCAUUACUGACGCUGAGGCGCGAAAGCUAGGGGAGCAAACGGG